This 244-nucleotide ribosomal RNA is filed under the name uncultured bacterium. Its description in RNAcentral is "partial 16S ribosomal RNA". It matches the Rfam family "Bacterial small subunit ribosomal RNA", at positions 118 to 351 of the family's 1533-position model. The record is from RNAcentral.
UGGGUAACCUGCCUCAAAGAGGGGAAUAGCCUCCCGAAAGGGAGAUUAAUACCGCAUAAUAUGUUUAAGUCGCAUGACUUUAACAUCAAAGGAUUUUCUUUUAGAAAAUUCCACUUUGAGAUGGACCCGCGGCGCAUUAGCUAGUUGGUGAGGUAACGGCUCACCAGGCAACGAUGCGUAGCCGACCUGAGAGGGUNAUCGGCACAUUGGAACUGAGACACGGUCCAGACCUCCCGUAGGGAAG